CCCUGCUGGUUUUAACUCACAGUAGGUUGGGGGCUGUGAGCCAAGGAAUGUAAAGAGCGGGAUCGUGAUGUGAAAUGGUGCCUGGUCUGCUGGGGACAGCACAGGAACGAAAACGUGGAAACGUGGAAACGCGGGUCUCCGGCCGUCCAGCUUUCGCGGGCCCCGUGUUCUUCCCUUCA
Molecule: long non-coding RNA, 179 nt
Organism: Homo sapiens (human)
Lineage: Eukaryota; Metazoa; Chordata; Mammalia; Primates; Hominidae
Source: Ensembl